RNAcentral lists this ribosomal RNA (727 nucleotides) under Escherichia coli. RNAcentral describes it as "bacterial LSU rRNA". It matches the Rfam family "Bacterial large subunit ribosomal RNA", at positions 823 to 1551 of the family's 2925-position model. Lineage: Bacteria; Pseudomonadati; Pseudomonadota; Gammaproteobacteria; Enterobacterales; Enterobacteriaceae. The record is from RNAcentral.
GAAAGGCCAAUCAAACCGGGAGAUAGCUGGUUCUCCCCGAAAGCUAUUUAGGUAGCGCCUCGUGAACUCAUCUCGGGGGGUAGAGCACUGUUUCGGCAAGGGGGUCAUCCCGACUUACCAACCCGAUGCAAACUGCGAAUACCGGAGAAUGUUAUCACGGGAGACACACGGCGGGUGCUAACGUCCGUCGUGAAGAGGGAAACAACCCAGACCGCCAGCUAAGGUCCCAAAGUCAUGGUUAAGUGGGAAACGAUGUGGGAAGGCCCAGACAGCCAGGAUGUUGGCUUAGAAGCAGCCAUCAUUUAAAGAAAGCGUAAUAGCUCACUGGUCGAGUCGGCCUGCGCGGAAGAUGUAACGGGGCUAAACCAUGCACCGAAGCUGCGGCAGCGACACUAUGUGUUGUUGGGUAGGGGAGCGUUCUGUAAGCCUGUGAAGGUGUACUGUGAGGUAUGCUGGAGGUAUCAGAAGUGCGAAUGCUGACAUAAGUAACGAUAAAGCGGGGGAAAAGCCCGCUCGCCGGAAGACCAAGGGUUCCUGUCCAACGUUAAUCGGGGCAGGGUGAGUCGACCCCUAAGGCGAGGCCGAAAGGCGUAGUCGAUGGGAAACAGGUUAAUAUUCCUGUACUUGGUGUUACUGCGAAGGGGGGACGGAGAAGGCUAUGUUGGCCGGGCGACGGUUGUCCCGGUUUAAGCGUGUAGGCUGGUUUUCCAGGCAAAUCCGGAAAAUC